UACGUAGGGGGCAAGCGUUGUCCGGAAUCAUUGGGCGUAAAGAGCGUGUAGGCGGCUCGAUAAGUCCGCUGUGAAAGUCCAGGGCUCAACCCUGGAAGGCCGGUGGAAACUGUCGGGCUAGAGUCCGGCAGAGGAGACUGGAAUUCCUGGUGUAGCAGUGAAAUGCGUAGAUAUCAGGAGGAACACCGAUGGCGAAGGCAGGUCUCUGGGCUGACACGUGACGCUCAUGCACGAAAGCGUGGGAGCAAACAGG
Molecule: ribosomal RNA, 253 nt
Filed under: uncultured bacterium
Lineage: Bacteria
Description: partial 16S ribosomal RNA
Rfam family: Bacterial small subunit ribosomal RNA
Source: RNAcentral